RNAcentral lists this ribosomal RNA (403 nucleotides) under uncultured Hyphomicrobiales bacterium. RNAcentral describes it as "bacterial SSU rRNA". It matches the Rfam family "Bacterial small subunit ribosomal RNA", at positions 356 to 774 of the family's 1533-position model. The record is from RNAcentral. Lineage: Bacteria; Pseudomonadati; Pseudomonadota; Alphaproteobacteria; Hyphomicrobiales.
GGGGAAUAUUGCGCAAUGGGGGAAACCCUGACGCAGCAAUACCGCGUGAGUGAAGAAGGUUUUCGGAUCGUAAAGCUCUGUUAUUGGGGAAGAAAAAAAGACGGUAACCGGAGAAGAAGCCCCGGCUAACUUCGUGCCAGCAGCCGCGGUAAUACGAAGGGGGCUAGCGUUGCUCGGAAUCACUGGGCGUAAAGCGCACGUAGGCGGAUCGUUAAGUCAGGGGUGAAAUCCUGGGGCUCAACCUCAGAACUGCCCUUGAUACUGGCGAUCUCGAGUUCGAGAGAGGUUGGUGGAACUCCGAGUGUAGAGGUGAAAUUCGUAGAUAUUCGGAAGAACACCAGUGGCGAAGGCGGCCAACUGGCUCGAUACUGACGCUGAGGUGCGAAAGCGUGGGGAGCAAACA